AAAUACGUGCCAGCAGCCGCGGUAAUACGUAUGGUGCAAGCGUUAUCCGGAUUUACUGGGUGUAAAGGGAGCGUAGGCGGCGCGUUAAGUCUGAUGUGAAAACCCGAGGCUCAACCACGGGAGUGCAUUGGAAACUGGCGGGCUGGAGUGCCGGAGAGGUAAGCGGAAUUCCUAGUGUAGCGGUGAAAUGCGUAGAUAUUAGGAGGAACACCAGUGGCGAAGGCGGCUUACUGGACGGCAACUGACGCUGAGGCUCGAAAGCGUGGGGAGCAAACAGGAUUAGAAACCCCGGUAGUCCAAGAUCG
RNAcentral lists this ribosomal RNA (305 nucleotides) under uncultured bacterium. Its description in RNAcentral is "bacterial SSU rRNA". It matches the Rfam family "Bacterial small subunit ribosomal RNA", at positions 499 to 803 of the family's 1533-position model. The record is from RNAcentral.